Molecule: ribosomal RNA, 440 nt
Filed under: uncultured Shewanella sp.
Lineage: Bacteria; Pseudomonadati; Pseudomonadota; Gammaproteobacteria; Alteromonadales; Shewanellaceae
Description: bacterial SSU rRNA
Rfam family: Bacterial small subunit ribosomal RNA
Source: RNAcentral
GGAAUAUUGCACAAUGGGGGAAACCCUGAUGCAGCCAUGCCGCGUGUGUGAAGAAGGCCUUCGGGUUGUAAAGCACUUUCAGUAGGGAGGAAAGGGUGAGUCUUAAUACGGCUCAUCUGUGACGUUACCUACAGAAGAAGGACCGGCUAACUCCGUGCCAGCAGCCGCGGUAAUACGGAGGGUCCGAGCGUUAAUCGGAAUUACUGGGCGUAAAGCGUGCGCAGGCGGUUUGUUAAGCGAGAUGUGAAAGCCCUGGGCUCAACCUAGGAAUAGCAUUUCGAACUGGCGAACUAGAGUCUUGUAGAGGGGGGUAGAAUUCCAGGUGUAGCGGUGAAAUGCGUAGAGAUCUGGAGGAAUACCGGUGGCGAAGGCGGCCCCCUGGACAAAGACUGACGCUCAUGCACGAAAGCGUGGGGAGCAAACAGGAUUAGAUACCCCAG